RNAcentral lists this ribosomal RNA (253 nucleotides) under uncultured prokaryote. RNAcentral's name for it is "partial 16S ribosomal RNA". It matches the Rfam family "Bacterial small subunit ribosomal RNA", at positions 524 to 776 of the family's 1533-position model. The record is from RNAcentral.
UACGUAGGGACCAAGCGUUGUUCGGAUUUACUGGGCGUAAAGAGCGUGUAGGCGGCCCGGUAAGUCCGCUGUGAAAGUCGGGGGCUCAACCCUCGGAUGCCGGUGGAUACUGUCGGGCUCGAGUACGGAAGAGGCGAGUGGAAUUCCUGGUGUAGCGGUGAAAUGCGUAGAUAUCGGGAGGAGCACCUGAGGCGAAGGCGGGCUACUGGGCUGAUACUGACGCUGAUGCGCGAAAGCCAGGGGAGCAAACGGG